Non-coding RNA from Chaetomium strumarium, 89 nucleotides. The record is from the annotation of a RefSeq genome assembly. Lineage: Eukaryota; Fungi; Ascomycota; Sordariomycetes; Sordariales; Chaetomiaceae.
GGCAAGAUGGCCGAGCGGUCUAAGGCGCUGUGUUCAGGUUCUCUGAUUCGCAGUCCGAAAGGGCGUGGGUUCGAAUCCCACUCUUGUCA